GCCCGCGUAGCUCAGGGGAAAGAGCAACCGCCUCCUAAGCGGUAGGUCGCAGGUUCGAAUCCUGCCGCGGGCG
Molecule: transfer RNA, 73 nt
Filed under: bacterium
Lineage: Bacteria
Description: tRNA-Arg
Rfam family: tRNA
About the family: Transfer RNA (tRNA) molecules are approximately 80 nucleotides in length.
Source: RNAcentral